Molecule: long non-coding RNA, 448 nt
Filed under: Salvia miltiorrhiza (redroot sage)
Lineage: Eukaryota; Viridiplantae; Streptophyta; Magnoliopsida; Lamiales; Lamiaceae
Description: long non-coding RNA (SMIL_LNC000595)
Source: RNAcentral
AAGAGGGCACUGCUCUUUCGAGCCCUAGGUAAAUAAAACAUCUAUGCUGCCAAAUCGAGCCCUAGGUAAAUAGAACAUCUAUGCAGCCAAAUCGAGCCCUAAGUAACUAGGAUUUUACCUUAAUUCGUGAACUGGAGGAUGGAUUCGUGGAGGCGGUGAGCGUGACGGCCGACGGCGACCCUAGACACCGAAGAGAUGAGGGCGACGAGAGGCUGCUGCUGGGAGGCUGGAGUUGUCUGGAGAACGGCGAGAUGAGGGCCACGGGAUGCUGCUGCCGCUGCUCUGCUCGCGUGAGGCUGCAGCGAGCACCAGUUGCUGCGGCGGCGCCGGUGGCUUCUCAGGCGUGAGGCGUGCAGCCGCCGUGAGUGUGAGAAGUGAGGGAGAGAGGCGGCGGGAGAGGCUGUAAUUGGGAGGGGAGGGGAGGGUGGGGAUUCUGGGUUUGGGAAAU